Molecule: ribosomal RNA, 2928 nt
Filed under: Salmonella enterica subsp. enterica serovar Enteritidis str. SA20095309
Lineage: Bacteria; Pseudomonadati; Pseudomonadota; Gammaproteobacteria; Enterobacterales; Enterobacteriaceae
Description: bacterial LSU rRNA
Rfam family: Bacterial large subunit ribosomal RNA
Source: RNAcentral
GGGUUGUGAGGUUAAGCGACUAAGCGUACACGGUGGAUGCCCUGGCAGUCAGAGGCGAUGAAGGGCGUACUAAUCUGCGAUAAGCGCCGGUAAGGUGAUAUGAACCGUUAUAACCGGCGAUACCCGAAUGGGGAAACCCAGUGUGAUUCGUCACACUAUCAUUAACUGAAUCCAUAGGUUAAUGAGGCGAACCGGGGGAACUGAAACAUCUAAGUACCCCGAGGAAAAGAAAUCAACCGAGAUUCCCCCAGUAGCGGCGAGCGAACGGGGAGGAGCCCAGAGCCUGAAUCAGCAUGUGUGUUAGUGGAAGCGUCUGGAAAGGCGCGCGAUACAGGGUGACAGCCCCGUACACAAAAGCGCAUGUGCUGUGAGCUCGAUGAGUAGGGCGGGACACGUGGUAUCCUGUCUGAAUAUGGGGGGACCAUCCUCCAAGGCUAAAUACUCCUGACUGACCGAUAGUGAACCAGUACCGUGAGGGAAAGGCGAAAAGAACCCCGGCGAGGGGAGUGAAAAAGAACCUGAAACCGUGUACGUACAAGCAGUGGGAGCACAGGUNNNNNNNNNNGACUGCGUACCUUUUGUAUAAUGGGUCAGCGACUUAUAUUCUGUAGCAAGGUUAACCGAAUAGGGGAGCCGGAGGGAAACCGAGUCUUAAUUGGGCGUUAAGUUGCAGGGUAUAGACCCGAAACCCGGUGAUCUAGCCAUGGGCAGGUUGAAGGUUGGGUAACACUAACUGGAGGACCGAACCGACUAAUGUUGAAAAAUUAGCGGAUGACCUGUGGCUGGGGGUGAAAGGCCAAUCAAACCGGGAGAUAGCUGGUUCUCCCCGAAAGCUAUUUAGGUAGCGCCUCGUGAAUUCAUCUCCGGGGGUAGAGCACUGUUUCGGCUAGGGGGCCAUCCCGGCUUACCAACCCGAUGCAAACUGCGAAUACCGGAGAAUGUUAUCACGGGAGACACACGGCGGGUGCUAACGUCCGUCGUGAAGAGGGAAACAACCCAGACCGCCAGCUAAGGUCCCAAAGUCAUGGUUAAGUGGGAAACGAUGUGGGAAGGCCCAGACAGCCAGGAUGUUGGCUUAGAAGCAGCCAUCAUUUAAAGAAAGCGUAAUAGCUCACUGGUCGAGUCGGCCUGCGCGGAAGAUGUAACGGGGCUAAACCAUGCACCGAAGCUGCGGCAGCGACACUGUGUGUUGUUGGGUAGGGGAGCGUUCUGUAAGCCUGCGAAGGUGGCCUGUGAGGGUUGCUGGAGGUAUCAGAAGUGCGAAUGCUGACAUAAGUAACGAUAAAGCGGGUGAAAAGCCCGCUCGCCGGAAGACCAAGGGUUCCUGUCCAACGUUAAUCGGGGCAGGGUGAGUCGACCCCUAAGGCGAGGCCGAAAGGCGUAGUCGAUGGGAAACGGGUUAAUAUUCCCGUACUUGGUGUUACUGCGAAGGGGGGACGGAGAAGGCUAUGUUGGCCGGGCGACGGUUGUCCCGGUUUAAGCGUGUAGGUGUGUGUUCCAGGUAAAUCCGGUUCACUUUAACACUGAGGCGUGACGACGAGGCACUACGGUGCUGAAGCAACAAAUGCCCUGCUUCCAGGAAAAGCCUCUAAGCAUCAGGUAACAUCAAAUCGUACCCCAAACCGACACAGGUGGUCAGGUAGAGAAUACCAAGGCGCUUGAGAGAACUCGGGUGAAGGAACUAGGCAAAAUGGUGCCGUAACUUCGGGAGAAGGCACGCUGACACGUAGGUGAAGUGAUUUACUCAUGGAGCUGAAGUCAGUCGAAGAUACCAGCUGGCUGCAACUGUUUAUUAAAAACACAGCACUGUGCAAACACGAAAGUGGACGUAUACGGUGUGACGCCUGCCCGGUGCCGGAAGGUUAAUUGAUGGGGUCAGCGCAAGCGAAGCUCCUGAUCGAAGCCCCGGUAAACGGCGGCCGUAACUAUAACGGUCCUAAGGUAGCGAAAUUCCUUGUCGGGUAAGUUCCGACCUGCACGAAUGGCGUAAUGAUGGCCAGGCUGUCUCCACCCGAGACUCAGUGAAAUUGAACUCGCUGUGAAGAUGCAGUGUACCCGCGGCAAGACGGAAAGACCCCGUGAACCUUUACUAUAGCUUGACACUGAACAUUGAGCCUUGAUGUGUAGGAUAGGUGGGAGGCUUUGAAGUGUGGACGCCAGUCUGCAUGGAGCCGACCUUGAAAUACCACCCUUUAAUGUUUGAUGUUCUAACGUGGACCCGUUACCCGGGUUGCGGACAGUGUCUGGUGGGUAGUUUGACUGGGGCGGUCUCCUCCUAAAGAGUAACGGAGGAGCACGAAGGUUGGCUAAUCCUGGUCGGACAUCAGGAGGUUAGUGCAAUGGCAUAAGCCAGCUUGACUGCGAGCGUGACGGCGCGAGCAGGUGCGAAAGCAGGUCAUAGUGAUCCGGUGGUUCUGAAUGGAAGGGCCAUCGCUCAACGGAUAAAAGGUACUCCGGGGAUAACAGGCUGAUACCGCCCAAGAGUUCAUAUCGACGGCGGUGUUUGGCACCUCGAUGUCGGCUCAUCACAUCCUGGGGCUGAAGUAGGUCCCAAGGGUAUGGCUGUUCGCCAUUUAAAGUGGUACGCGAGCUGGGUUUAGAACGUCGUGAGACAGUUCGGUCCCUAUCUGCCGUGGGCGCUGGAGAACUGAGGGGGGCUGCUCCUAGUACGAGAGGACCGGAGUGGACGCAUCACUGGUGUUCGGGUUGUCAUGCCAAUGGCACUGCCCGGUAGCUAAAUGCGGAAGAGAUAAGUGCUGAAAGCAUCUAAGCACGAAACUUGCCCCGAGAUGAGUUCUCCCUGAGACUUAAAGUCUCCUGAAGGAACGUUGAAGACGACGACGUUGAUAGGCCGGGUGUGUAAGCGCAGCGAUGCGUUGAGCUAACCGGUACUAAUGAACCGUGAGGCUUAACCUUACAACGCCGAAG